CACGUAGGGCGCAAGCGUUGUCCGGAAUUAUUGGGCGUAAAGAGCUCGUAGGCGGUCUGUUGCGUCCGCUGUGAAAACUCGGGGCUUAACCCCGAGCCUGCAGUGGAUACGGGCAGACUAGAGGUAGGUAGGGGAGAAUGGAAUUCCCGGUGUAGCGGUGAAAUGCGCAGAUAUCGGGAGGAACACCGGUGGCGAAGGUGGUUCUCUGGGCCUUACCUGACGCUGAGGAGCGAAAGCGUGGGGAGCGAACAGG
RNAcentral lists this ribosomal RNA (253 nucleotides) under uncultured bacterium. Its description in RNAcentral is "partial 16S ribosomal RNA". It matches the Rfam family "Bacterial small subunit ribosomal RNA", at positions 524 to 776 of the family's 1533-position model. The record is from RNAcentral.